AGGACGAACGCUGGCGGCGUGCCUAAUACAUGCAAGUCGAACGGUCUUUCUAUGGAAGCCUGCUUCCACUGAGAAGAUAGUGGCGGACGGGUGAGUAACACGUGGGUAACCUGCCCAUAAGAGGGGGAUAACAUCCGGAAACGGGUGCUAAUACCGCAUAGUUUUCUUGAUCGCAUGAUCGGGAAAGGAAAGACGGCCUUUGUGCUGUCGCUUAUGGAUGGACCCGCGGCGUAUUAGUUAGUUGGUGAGGUAACGGCUCACCAAGACGAUGAUACGUAGCCGACCUGAGAGGGUGAUCGGCCACAUUGGGACUGAGACACGGCCCAAACUCCUACGGGAGGCAGCAGUAGGGAAUCUUCCGCAAUGGACGAAAGUCUGACGGAGCAACGCCGCGUGAGUGAAGAAGGUUUUCGGAAUCGUAAAACUCUGUUGUCAGAGAAGAACAAGUUGGAGAGUAACUGCUCCAGCCUUGACGGUAUCUGACCAGAAAGCCACGGCUAACUACGUGCCAGCAGCUGC
Molecule: ribosomal RNA, 519 nt
Filed under: uncultured bacterium
Lineage: Bacteria
Description: bacterial SSU rRNA
Rfam family: Bacterial small subunit ribosomal RNA
Source: RNAcentral